This 21-nucleotide microRNA is filed under the name Drosophila virilis. RNAcentral describes it as "dvi-miR-13b-2-5p". Its record names the gene dvi-miR-13b-2-5p. The record is from miRBase by way of RNAcentral. Lineage: Eukaryota; Metazoa; Arthropoda; Insecta; Diptera; Drosophilidae.
GCGUCAAAAUGACUGUGAGCU